CCUACGGGUGGCAGCAGUGAGGAAUAUUGGUCAAUGGACGAGAGUCUGAACCAGCCAAGUAGCGUGAAGGAUGACUGCCCUAUGGGUUGUAAACUUCUUUUAUAUGGGAAUAAAACGUUCCACGUGUGGGAUUUUGUAUGUACCAUAUGAAUAAGGAUCGGCUAACUCCGUGCCAGCAGCCGCGGUAAUACGGAGGAUCCGAGCGUUAUCCGGAUUUAUUGGGUUUAAAGGGAGCGUAGGUGGAUUGUUAAGUCAGUUGUGAAAGUUUGCGGCGCAACCGUAAAAUUGCAGUUGAAACUGGCAGUCUUGAGUACAGUAGAGGUGGGCGGAAUGCGUGGUGUAGCGGUGAAAUGCUUAGAUAUCACGAAGAACUCCGAUUGCGAAGGCAGUUCACUGGACUGCAACUGACACUGAGGCUCGAAAGUGUGGGUAUCAAACAGGAUUAGAUACCCUUGUAGUC
RNAcentral lists this ribosomal RNA (460 nucleotides) under uncultured bacterium. RNAcentral describes it as "partial 16S ribosomal RNA". It matches the Rfam family "Bacterial small subunit ribosomal RNA", at positions 338 to 795 of the family's 1533-position model. The record is from RNAcentral.